UCCAACGACUGUCCAGGAUGAGGCCGA
RNAcentral lists this non-coding RNA (27 nucleotides) under Bombyx mori (domestic silkworm). The record is from RNAcentral. Lineage: Eukaryota; Metazoa; Arthropoda; Insecta; Lepidoptera; Bombycidae.